Molecule: ribosomal RNA, 253 nt
Filed under: uncultured bacterium
Lineage: Bacteria
Description: partial 16S ribosomal RNA
Rfam family: Bacterial small subunit ribosomal RNA
Source: RNAcentral
UACGUAGGCAGCGAGCGUUGUUCGGAGUUACUGGGCGUAAAGAGUGCGUAGGCGGUUUUCUAAGUUUGGUGUGAAAUCUCCCGGCUUAACUGGGAGGGUGCGCCGAAGACUGGAAGGCUUGAGUAUGGGAGAGGUAAGCGGAAUUCCUGGUGUAGCGGUGAAAUGCGUAGAGAUGUGGAGGAAUACCGAUGGCGAAGGCAGCCUCCUGGGCCAACACUGACGCUCAUGCACGAAAGCGUGGGGAGCAAACAGG